RNAcentral lists this ribosomal RNA (777 nucleotides) under uncultured Methylobacter sp. RNAcentral describes it as "bacterial SSU rRNA". It matches the Rfam family "Bacterial small subunit ribosomal RNA", at positions 51 to 826 of the family's 1533-position model. Lineage: Bacteria; Pseudomonadati; Pseudomonadota; Gammaproteobacteria; Methylococcales; Methylococcaceae. The record is from RNAcentral.
ACACAUGCAAGUCGAACGGUAGCAGGCCUUCGGGUGCUGACGAGUGGCGGACGGGUGAGUAACGCGUAGGAAUCUGCCCUGUAGUGGGGGACAACGUGGGGAAACUCACGCUAAUACCGCAUACGCCCUGAGGGGGAAAGCGGGGGACCUUCGGGCCUCGCGCUAUGGGAUGAGCCUGCGUGGGAUUAGCUAGUUGGUAGGGUAAAGGCCUACCAAGGCGACGAUCCCUAGCCGGCCUGAGAGGGUGGCCGGCCACACUGGGACUGAGACACGGCCCAGACUCCUACGGGAGGCAGCAGUGGGGAAUAUUGGACAAUGGGCGCAAGCCUGAUCCAGCAAUGCCGCGUGUGUGAAGAAGGCCUGAGGGUUGUAAAGCACUUUCAGUGGGGAGGAAAAAGCGAAGGUUAAUACCCUUGGUCUUGACAUUACCCAGAGAAGAAGCACCGGCUAACUCCGUGCCAGCAGCCGCGGUAAUACGGAGGGUGCGAGCGUUAAUCGGAAUUACUGGGCGUAAAGCGUGCGUAGGCGGCUAUUUAAGUCAGAUGUGAAAGCCCCGGGCUUAACCUGGGAACGGCAUUUGAUACUGGGUAGCUAGAGUUUGGUAGAGGGGAGUGGAAUUUCAGGUGUAGCGGUGAAAUGCGUAGAGAUCUGAAGGAACACCAGUGGCGAAGGCGGCUCCCUGGACCAGAACUGACGCUGAGGCACGAAAGCGUGGGUAGCAAACAGGAUUAGAUACCCUGGUAGUCCACGCCGUAAACGAUGCCGACUAGCCGUUGG